GACGAACGCUGGCGGCGUGCUUAACACAUGCAAGUCGAGCGGUAAGGCGCUUCGGGGUACACGAGCGGCGAACGGGUGAGUAACACGUGUGUAAUCUGCCCAUCACUUCGGGAUAACUCAGGGCAACCGGUGCUAAUAUCGUAUAUGACCACUUCAGGCAUCUGAUGGUGGUGGAAAGUUCCGGCGGUGUUGGAUGAGCUCGCGGCCUAUCAGCUUGUUGGUGGGGUAGUGGACUACGAAGGCUUCGACGGGUAGCCGGCCUGAGAGGGUGACCGGCCACACGGGGACUGAGAGAGGGCGCAGACGCCAACGGUGGACAACAGGGGAGAAUAUGAUACAGCAGUCGAGAGCCUGAGCCAGCAGCGCCGGGGGUGGAAAGACGGCCUGCGGGGAAUAAACCUCUUGCAGCUGGGACGAUGCGCGAGUGACGGUACCGGAAGAAGAAGCACCGGCUAACUACGUG
RNAcentral lists this ribosomal RNA (463 nucleotides) under uncultured bacterium. Its description in RNAcentral is "partial 16S ribosomal RNA". It matches the Rfam family "Bacterial small subunit ribosomal RNA", at positions 28 to 507 of the family's 1533-position model. The record is from RNAcentral.